RNAcentral lists this transfer RNA (82 nucleotides) under Cotesia glomerata. RNAcentral describes it as "tRNA-Lys". It matches the Rfam family "tRNA". Rfam says of the family: Transfer RNA (tRNA) molecules are approximately 80 nucleotides in length. Lineage: Eukaryota; Metazoa; Arthropoda; Insecta; Hymenoptera; Braconidae. The record is from RNAcentral.
GCUUGAGUAGCUUAGUCGGUAGAGCAUCAGACUUUUAUGACUUUUAAUCUGAGGGUCCAGGGUUCAAGUCCCUGUUUGAGCG